This 466-nucleotide ribosomal RNA is filed under the name uncultured bacterium. RNAcentral describes it as "partial 16S ribosomal RNA". It matches the Rfam family "Bacterial small subunit ribosomal RNA", at positions 28 to 507 of the family's 1533-position model. The record is from RNAcentral.
GACGAACGCUGGCGGCGUGCUUAACACAUGCAAGUCGAACGGAAAGGCCCUGCUUGCAGGGUACUCGAGUGGCGAACGGGUGAGUAACACGUGGGUGAUCUGCCCUGCACUUCGGGAUAAGCUUGGGAAACUGGGUCUAAUACCGGAUAGGAGCCAUCUUUAGUGUGGUGGUUGGAAAGUUUUUUCGGUGUAGGAUGAGCUCGCGGCCUAUCAGCUUGUUGGUGGGGUAAUGGCCUACCAAGGCGGCGACGGGUAGCCGGCCUGAGAGGGUGUACGGCCACAUUGGGACUGGGAUACGGCCCAGACUCCUACGGGAGGCAGGAGUGGGGAAUAUUGGACAAUGGGGGCAAGCCUGAUGGAGCGAAGCCGCGUGGGGGAUGAAGGCCUUCGGGUUGUAAACUCCUUUCGCUAGGGACGAAGCUUUGUUGUGACGGUACCUAGAUAAGAAGCACCGGCUAACUACGUG